AAUAUUCUUGAGUCUUGCAAAAAGACGCCCUUGACAGUUAUAAUGCACAUUCUUUACAUUUUUACAUUCUUCUUUUGAUACGCCUUCUUCCGCUCUCUCACGAGAUAGUAGACACAAACUAAAAACAAAAAAUGGCUGUCAAAAGUUUAUUUCAAGAAGUCUGUUCUCCACAACCUCAAAAGAAGCCUACUGGGGGUCGAGACUGAAAGAUACCAAGCAAGUCUUUGUAGGUAUAAUUGACAGUGCUAAGCGUUGUCUUGCUGCCAGAGAUGCAUGCAUAUCGCAUUGGCCCAACAUGAGGAUCUGACAAACUGAUGCUGUUGUUGAAGAUGUGGACAUAAUAACUCAAGUCGCGUUGAAGGACGCUUUGAAGGACUGCGACUGCCUUUGCUUGUUGACAGUCUCCCUGGGUACACCAUCAAUCUAUAAUCGAAGUUUCGGUGAAUUUCCACAAUGACAGUUUCAAUGCCGUCUAUUAUGCAAGAAAGCAAGCUUCCUAGCUCUUCCACAACGUUCCCUGGAGUAUGCUCACUGUAGCUGACCUGGAGCUGAAAAGAUUCCUUUAUUGUGCAUAGGCUUUUGCUGUAUCUAUUCAUAAAGUUUUUGUCAGCCAUUAUGAUAAUAAUUUUAUUUUUUUUGUUUUUUGUUUCUGCUUCUGGUAAAAACGAAAAACUACCAAGAAUGUAUUUCCCUUCCCUUUG
Long non-coding RNA from Halichondria panicea, 701 nucleotides. RefSeq lists it as uncharacterized. The transcript is spliced from 3 exons. Lineage: Eukaryota; Metazoa; Porifera; Demospongiae; Suberitida; Halichondriidae. The record is from RefSeq and is a predicted model, not a curated record.